AGGACGAACGCUGGCGGCGUGCUUAACACAUGCAAGUCGAACGGGGUCCAAGGAGUAGCAAUACUCCUGAAGACCUAGUGGCGAACGGGUGAGUAACACGUGAGCAACCUGCCCCAAAGACUGGGAUAACACCGGGAAACCGGUGCUAAUACCGGAUACCCUCACCGGGUCGCAUGGCCUGGUGAGGAAAUGAAUUUCGCUUUGGGAGGGGCUCGCGGGAUAUCAGGUUGUUGGUGGGGUAACGGCCUACCAAGCCAUCGACGUCUAGCUGGUCUGAGAGGACGAUCAGCCACACUGGGACUGAGACACGGCCCAGACUCCUACGGGAGGCAGCAGUGGGGAAUCUUGCCCAAUGGGCGAAAGCCUGAGGCAGCAACGCCGCGUGUGGAUGACGGCCCUCGGGUGUAAACCACUUUCAGCAGGACGAAAAUGACGGUACCUGCAGAAGAAGCUCCGGCCAACUACGUGCCAGCAGCCGC
This 479-nucleotide ribosomal RNA is filed under the name uncultured soil bacterium. RNAcentral describes it as "bacterial SSU rRNA". It matches the Rfam family "Bacterial small subunit ribosomal RNA", at positions 26 to 518 of the family's 1533-position model. The record is from RNAcentral.